CAGGGUUUCAUAUGGACCCCCAAUAUAGAAGUCAGAUAAGGGACUGAACCAGGGACUGGGGGCCCAGGGCCCUAGGGCUCAGCCUCCUCCUCAGCCCACGAAGCCAUGUGACUGCUGGGCUGGGGAUCGAAGGCAGAGCCUGGUUCUGAAGUCCUAGAGCUGGAAGCUGGCUGAGAAGGUGUGGGAAGCCCAGCUCCCUGGAUUCCCCUCGCCCCCUCAGUGCUCCGUGCGGUGCGGCCGGGGCCAGAGAAGCCGGCAGGUUCGCUGUGUUGGGAACAAUGGUGAUGAAGUGAGUGAGCAGGAGUGCGCGUCAGGCCCCCCGCAGCCCCCCAGCAGAGAGGCCUGUGACAUGGGGCCCUGUACUACCGCCUGGUUCCACAGCGACUGGAGCUCCAAGUGCUCAGCCGAGUGUGGGACGGGAAUCCAGCGGCGCUCUGUUGUCUGCCUUGGGAGUGGGGCAGCCCUCAGGCCGGGCCAGGGGGAAGCAGGAGCAGGAACUGGGCAGAGCUGUCCAACAGGAAGCCGGCCCCCUGACAUGCGCGCCUGCAGCCUGGGGCCCUGUGAGAGGAUUUGGCGCUGGUACACAGGGCCCUGGGGUGAGUGCUCCUCCGAAUGUGGCUCCGGCACACAGCGUAGAGACAUCAUCUGUGUAUCCAAACUGGGGACGGAGUUCAACGUGACUUCUCCGAGCAACUGUUCUCACCUCCCCAGGCCCCCUGCCCUGCAGCCCUGUCAAGGGCAGACCUGCCAGGACCGAUGGUUUUCCACGCCCUGGAGCCCGUGUUCUCGCUCCUGCCAAGGGGGAACGCAGACAAGGGAGGUCCAGUGCCUGAGCGCCAACCAGACCCUCAGCACCCGAUGCCCUCCUCAACUGCGGCCCUCCAGGAAGCGCCCCUGUAACAGCCAACCCUGCAGCCAGCGCCCUGAUGAUCAAUGCAAGGACAGCUCUCCACAUUGCCCCCUGGUGGUACAGGCCCGGCUCUGCGUCUACCCCUACUACACAGUCACCUGUUGCCGCUCUUGCGCACAUGUCCUGGAGCGGUCUCCCCAGGAUCCCUCCUGAAAGGGGUCCGGGGCACCCUCACGGUUUUCUGUGCCACCAUCGGUCACCCAUUGAUCGGCCCACUCAGAACCCCCUGGCUCUCCAGCCUGUCCCAGUCUCAGCAGGGAUGUCCUCCAGGUGACAGAGGGUGGCAAGGUGACUGACAGAAAGUGACUUUCAGGUCUGUGGUCAGGCCCAUGUGGUGAUGUGAUGGGUGUGUACACAUAUGCCUCAGGUGUGCUUUUGGGACUGCAUGGAUAUGUGUGUGCUCAAACGUGUAUCACUUUUCAAAAAGAAGUUACACAGACUGAGAAGGACAAGACCUGUUUCCCUGAGACUUUCCUAGGUGGAGAGGAAAACAAGUCCGCAGUUCCUUGCUAAUCUGAGCUACUUAGAGUGUGGUCUCCUCACCACCAACUCCAGUUUUGUGCCCUAAGCCUCCUUUCUCAUGUUCAGACCUCACAUCUUCUAAGCCGCCCUGUGUCUCUGACCCCUUCUCAUUUGCCUAGUAUCUCUGCCCCUGCCUCCCUAAUUAGCUAGGGCUGGGGUCAGCCACUGCCAAUCCUGCCUUACCCAGGAAGGCAGGAGGAAAGAGACUCCCUCUCCAGAGCAAGGCCCAGCUGGGCAGAGGGUGAAAAAGAGAAAUGUGAGCAUGCGCCCCCCCUCCUGCCCCGCCCACCCAGCCCGUAGCCCCACUCCCUGCCUCCUGAAAUGGUUCCCUCCCAGAACUAAUUUAUUUUUUAUUAAAGAUGGUCAUGACAAAUGAGAAA
This 1812-nucleotide small RNA is filed under the name Pongo abelii (Sumatran orangutan). Its description in RNAcentral is "retained intron". Lineage: Eukaryota; Metazoa; Chordata; Mammalia; Primates; Hominidae. The record is from RNAcentral.